Non-coding RNA from Microbotryomycetes sp. JL201, 209 nucleotides. The record is from the annotation of a GenBank genome assembly. Lineage: Eukaryota; Fungi; Basidiomycota; Microbotryomycetes.
ACUCUUCAACCCACCAGUUUCUAGUUAAACUGCGUGGCGCUUGGAUCCUGAGCGCUUGCUCCGCUUCUUCCAGAGCUCGUUCGUAAUACAUUAGCUUUCUUGACUCGAAUCGGAUUGACUCGGCGUAAUAGACUAUUCGCUGAGGACAAGCUUCGCGCUUGGCCGGCUCGAUUGUCAGAUGAAGGCUUCUAGUCUCGUCAAUUUUUAAG